Long non-coding RNA from Heterocephalus glaber (naked mole-rat), 1169 nucleotides. NCBI's taxonomy places the organism in Eukaryota, Metazoa, Chordata, Mammalia, Rodentia, Bathyergidae. The record is from Ensembl.
GUAAUAUUCACAAUUUCUGUGAUUGUCACCCACAGAAACUAUAGCUAUUUCCAUACCUGAUAAACCCAUUGUGAUUGUUACUGAUUGAUUGAUUGAUCGAAAACUCAUUUAUACUCAUUACUAUUUUGAAUUUAUAGGCAUUCGUAGACCUACAUUUUAUUUAAUGCACCAAUAAAGACAUGUUGUGUCAUAAUUUUAUUUUUAAUAUAUUUUUAUUUCCUCAUAUUUUACCUUUUAAAACCUUUAUUAGUACAUGUUUUGUGGUACAUAAUAAUUGCAUCCAUCUGGGGAAGUUGGUACAUGCACAUAACACCUCUUAAUUCUUUUUACCCCUCCCCUCUUCCUCCCCCAUCUCCCUCCAUCUCUUGAUCCCCUUCCCGUUUGCUAAAGAUCUAUCUCCCCUAUAUCAUUUUAUCCAUAACCAUAAUAAGUAGAAACAAUAGCCCCUACAGAUAACCACAUCCUAAUCCUAAAAGCCUGUGAUCCAUUUCUCGUCCAAGGAAAAAACCCUGAAAACAUGAGUAAGAGAUUUGUGAAAAAUUCUAUAUUCAUGACCCAGUGGAAGAUUACCAAAUCCUAGAGCACCCCAAACACCCUGUAGAAGCUGUUCCUGAUCCUUUGUUAAGGGGCAGCCUGAUUACUCUUUUUUCACUACUGUCACCACGUUCUUCAUCUUCCUAAACUUCCACUGAACCUUUUGUCAUUAAGUUCAUAUUCUUGCCUCAGUUUUAAUUUCUGUUACCACUGAGACAAACAUUCCCAUGAAUCAGGAGCUGCUACUAUAAAAUAUACAUGUACUCCAAAUGCAUAACAGCGAAGAGUAUAAGUUUUGUUUCUUCCUUGUAUGAGAGUCCGGGCUGGGAGUCUUUGGGCAGAGGGUGACUGUCUUGCAGGUCGUGUUUGAUGGAGGCAGGUUCCUUCCAGGUUGUGAUUCCAUCCUCACCCAGUGGCUUUUUUUUUUUUCCACCCCCAUCCAGCUAGAGGAAUGGGAUAGAGAACUUGGAGGUGUUACACUAUCUCCUUAAGGCUUUGCCCCAAACUUGAAAAUAGCUUUCCACUUCUACUCAGACUUUAUUGGGAAGAAAUCGUCCCAUGGCCACAGCAGGUAGAAUCUUGCUUCUUCCUCUGUUACCUGAGAUUGAAAAAGCGGUGACAGAAGCAAGUGAACA